GUGAGUGGAAGCUCAUUGUAGAGGUCACGUGCUGAGUGUUCGUCACUCCUCCAAUCACCUCGGGGAAGGUCUGAGUCAAGAGCCAAUCGUUACCCUUGCAGGGUAUCACCUGAUUCGGGUGAGCGAGUGAACAGAAAAAUUGGGCCACCGCACGCAGUUUCAGCAGGAGAAGCUAGGUGGUGCUGGUUCACGCACCUCCUAGUGGAUGUGCUGCGUGCUGGCUUGGAAUCACUCGCGGCUGGCGAAUGAGUCCGAUGUAUGAGGUGGAGCAAUGCUCCAGAACCCAAUUCAGACUACUCUCCACUCAC
Molecule: ribozyme, 308 nt
Rfam family: Nuclear RNase P
About the family: Ribonuclease P (RNase P) is a ubiquitous endoribonuclease, found in archaea, bacteria and eukarya as well as chloroplasts and mitochondria. Its best characterised activity is the generation of mature 5'-ends of tRNAs by cleaving the 5'-leader elements of precursor-tRNAs.
Source: Ensembl